Molecule: ribosomal RNA, 774 nt
Filed under: uncultured Neocallimastigales
Lineage: Eukaryota; Fungi; Neocallimastigomycota; Neocallimastigomycetes; Neocallimastigales
Description: partial large subunit ribosomal RNA
Rfam family: Eukaryotic large subunit ribosomal RNA
Source: RNAcentral
GUACACGCUGUGACUAGCAUAUCAAUAAGCGGAGGAAAAGAAACUAACAAGGAUUCCCCUAGUAACGGCGAGUGAAGCGGGAAGAGCUCAAAUUUGAAAUCUUAAAGGGUUUCCCUUUACGAAUUGUAGUUUAAAGAAGUGUUUUCUGUUGAGGUUUUGGUAAAAGUUCUUUGGAAUAGGACAUCAUAGAGGGUGAGAAUCCCGUAUUUGACCUUUACUUUCAACUUUGUGAUACACUUUCAAAGAGUCGGAUUGUUUGGGAAUGCAGUCCAAAAUGGGUGGUAAAUUUCAUCUAAAGCUAAAUAUUGGCGAGAGACCGAUAGCGAACAAGUACCGUGAGGGAAAGAUGAAAAGAACUUUGAAAAGAGAGUUAAACAGUACGUGAAAUUGUCAAAAGGGAAGCGUUUGACACCAGUGUUGUUUUUCUGAAAAUCAAUUAAAGGACUGUUUAUGCUAAGUUGUUUAGACUUUAUCAGCUAUCUGUUUAGUUUUGAGCUUUUCUUUAAUGCACUUUUCAGUUAACAAGUCAACAUCAAUUUCUUUUGCUGUAAAAAAGCUUGAGGAAGGUGGCUUGAGAUUCGUCUUAAGUGUUUAUAGCCUCUUGCCUAUGCAGUCGGAGAGAUUGAGGUCUGCAGCGUAGAUCCUUCGGGGCUAAAUGCAUUUGUGCUAAGUUAUAGCAUUUUAUAGACAACUUGUUGACUAUGAUUUGUCUUGUAGCUUACUCGCUUAUGUUAUUUUACCUACGCUUAGGAUGUUGACGCGCGUGUGUGCGUG